RNAcentral lists this ribosomal RNA (253 nucleotides) under uncultured bacterium. RNAcentral describes it as "partial 16S ribosomal RNA". It matches the Rfam family "Bacterial small subunit ribosomal RNA", at positions 524 to 776 of the family's 1533-position model. The record is from RNAcentral.
GACGGAGGGUGCUAGCGUUGUUCGGAUUUACUGGGCGUAAAGCGCACGUAGGCGGAUCGUUAAGUCGGGGGUGAAAUCCUGGAGCUCAACUCCAGAACUGCCUUCGAUACUGGCGAUCUUGAGUCCGGAAGAGGUGAGUGGAACUCCUAGUGUAGAGGUGGAAUUCGUAGAUAUUAGGAAGAACACCAGUGGCGAAGGCGGCUCACUGGUCCGGUACUGACGCUGAGGUGCGAAAGCGUGGGGAGCAAACAGG